GCCCCUGUAGCUCAGACUGGCAGAGCGUCUGCCUUGUAAGCGGAAGGUCGCAGGUUCAAAUCCUGCCGGGGGCA
This 74-nucleotide transfer RNA is filed under the name Candidatus Woesearchaeota archaeon. Its description in RNAcentral is "tRNA-Thr". It matches the Rfam family "tRNA". From Rfam's summary of the family: Transfer RNA (tRNA) molecules are approximately 80 nucleotides in length. Their secondary structure includes four short double-helical elements and three loops (D, anti-codon, and T loops). Further hydrogen bonds mediate the characteristic L-shaped molecular structure. tRNAs have two regions of fundamental functional importance: the anti-codon, which is responsible for specific mRNA codon recognition, and the 3' end, to which the tRNAs corresponding amino acid is attached (by aminoacyl-tRNA synthetases). tRNAs cope with the degeneracy of the genetic code in two manners: having more than one tRNA (with a specific anti-codon) for a particular amino acid; and 'wobble' base-pairing, i.e. permitting non-standard base-pairing at the 3rd anti-codon position. RNAcentral also lists the same sequence under 1 other name. The record is from RNAcentral. Lineage: Archaea; Nanobdellati; Candidatus Woesearchaeota.